RNAcentral lists this ribosomal RNA (428 nucleotides) under uncultured bacterium. RNAcentral's name for it is "bacterial SSU rRNA". It matches the Rfam family "Bacterial small subunit ribosomal RNA", at positions 355 to 775 of the family's 1533-position model. The record is from RNAcentral.
UGGGGAAUAUUGGACAAUGGGCGCAAGCCUGAUCCAGCAACGCCGCGUGGAGGAUGAAGGUCUUCGGAUCGUAAACUCCUGUCAGAUGGGACGAAGGUUUGGAGGCAAAUAGUUUCCGAGCUUGACGGUACCAUCAGAGGAAGCCCCGGCUAACUCCGUGCCAGCAGCCGCGGUAAUACGGAGGGGGCGAGCGUUAUUCGGAAUUAUUGGGCGUAAAGGGCGCGUAGGCGGCCCGGUAAGUCAAAGGUGAAAUCCCUCGGCUCAACUGAGGAACUGCCUUUGAAACUGUCGGGCUUGAGGCCGGGAGAGGGUAGUGGAAUUCCCAGUGUAGCGGUGAAAUGCGUAGAUAUUGGGAGGAACACCAGUGGCGAAGGCGGCUACCUGGACCGGUUCUGACGCUGAGGCGCGAAAGCGUGGGUAGCAAACAG